Molecule: ribosomal RNA, 24 nt
Filed under: Plectosphaerella alismatis
Lineage: Eukaryota; Fungi; Ascomycota; Sordariomycetes; Glomerellales; Plectosphaerellaceae
Description: partial 28S ribosomal RNA
Source: RNAcentral
GUUGAAUUCGGAUCAGGUAGGAAU